This 115-nucleotide transfer RNA is filed under the name Candidatus Woesearchaeota archaeon. RNAcentral describes it as "tRNA-OTHER". The record is from RNAcentral. Lineage: Archaea; Nanobdellati; Candidatus Woesearchaeota.
GCGGGGGUGGCAGAGCCUGGCCAAAUGCGCUAUUUCAUUCCCAAAUGGGGAUGGAGCGUAAGCUUGAGGGGCUAGUCCCUUAGUGGGUGCGCGUGUUCGAAUCACGUCCCCCGCA